UCCAGCAGCCCUAUCACCCUGCAACUUACAACUGGCAGCCCACUGAAGCUCAGCAGGUGUGAGCCUGGUCAGUGCCUGGAUGGGAGACCUCCUGGGAAAAACUAAGGUUGCUGCUGGAA
This 119-nucleotide ribosomal RNA is filed under the name Lepisosteus oculatus (spotted gar). Lineage: Eukaryota; Metazoa; Chordata; Actinopteri; Semionotiformes; Lepisosteidae. The record is from RNAcentral.